Herpailurus yagouaroundi (jaguarundi) is the source of this 1401-nucleotide long non-coding RNA. RefSeq lists it as uncharacterized. NCBI's taxonomy places the organism in Eukaryota, Metazoa, Chordata, Mammalia, Carnivora, Felidae. The transcript has 3 exons. The record is from RefSeq and is a predicted model, not a curated record.
UGGAGGCACUAUGGUAACCUCAACUGAAGUAGCAAACGAUGCCUCGUUUCCUCAAAAUUCCUGCUAACCACCCCUCUUUGCCUCUGAACAUAAUGGAUCAGUUUUCAGCACACUCUAGGGAAGUGGUACAAGGUUCUGACACAGGAGAAAAGAUCUUAGAGUCUCUGUGAUCGAGGAAGUCUCUCCCUUCAAUUUUAAUAUUUGAUUUUCAUUGCAGUGACAUUAUGUGCAAUGAAAACAUCCAACUUCCACCUUGCAGGUGUUCAAGAAUAUUUAGCAUUGAAACUUGACAAAUAGUUGGUGACUAAGCCAACUUUGUGGGCUUUUUGUCAUUAAGAUGCAGUUACAACGACAAAAGAAAGCUAAUCAACUAAAACUACAUACUUCCAAGAAACAACUAAGCCACAUCUAUAGACCAGACCCACCUUCUUCUGAGGCAGUCAUGACACUGACCUUGCAGGAAACUUCAGGUAGUGUUUUAUUUGCUCGUUUGGUUGUGGUUUAUGAUUUUUAUAGAAAUGGAAUCACGUUAAUCUUUGGCUCUUUUUUUACCUAGCAGCUCAUGCCAUCUUUCCCAAAUCCAUACAAUUUAUUUUUAAUAUUCUGACGAAAAGGACUGCUUGAUACGGUUACAGCUGAGCAUUUCUCCAGCAAGAUAUAUCAAGAUAUGAAAUUGAGAUCAAGGAUUAAGCUCAUUUUUUGCCACAGUAAUAAAAUCCAUAACCUGAAUAAGAAUCCAGGGUAAAAAAAAACAUUUAAACUUUGGUAGAGGCACUGUUGUGGCAAGAGUGUAGGAAAACAGACAACUUUAAGUUGUGAGAACCUAACUGGGUACAACGUCUUUUUUUUGGAACAGAGUGAUUUGGCAAUAUCUAUUACAAUUGAAAAUGCACAUACAGUUGAAUUCAAGAAGAUGCAAGUAUUUUCUGCUAGGAACGUAACCUACAUAUAUAUUUUACACGAAAGAGUGUCUUAGCAAUAUAGACAAUGAAUGUCUGCACUGUCAGUGCACAGCCUGCUUGGGAUUCUCUCUCUCCCUCUCUCUCUGCCCCUCCCCACCCAUCCCCCUCCCCACAAAAGAGCAAGCAGGUCUAUAAGAACAGGUAUGAGAUGAUCUUUAAGAUGUGUUGUAUACUGUUGUAUAGUAUAUUUACUAUGCUACCAUUUGCAAGGGGAAAGUGGUAUAUGCCUGUCACUGAAUGUAUGUGCUUAAAAUAUCACUGAAAGGCUGCACAAUCAACUGGGAUAGAGAAGUGGCUGGGUGUUCCAGUUAUCUAUGUAUAACAAACAGUGAUCUAUAUAACAAGCCACCCCCAAACAUUGUGGCUUGAAGCACAAUUCCGUAGGCUGACUGAGUUUUGCUGGGCAGUCUGCUAGGAAUGCAGCCAUCUGUCAGCCCAA